This is a long non-coding RNA of Aedes aegypti (yellow fever mosquito), 922 nucleotides long. RefSeq lists it as uncharacterized. The transcript is spliced from 2 exons. The record is from RefSeq and is a predicted model, not a curated record. NCBI's taxonomy places the organism in Eukaryota, Metazoa, Arthropoda, Insecta, Diptera, Culicidae.
ACAAUCUAGCGACGGCGAACGGGGAGCCGAAAAAAAAUUUGUGUAAUCGCGUUUUUCGUGUGUUGUUGGCUGUGCCGUUCGUCCGUGGUGUUGUUGGCGAAAAUAAGUGAAAAAUCGUCGUACAGAAAAACAAAACUAAUCUGGAAUUAGUUUUCCCCCCGGUUUCUGGUGCGCGAUUUCCGCUGUUGUAUUCGUUGUUGAGUUUUACCGAUUCGGUUCAAGAGUCCUUCUCCUCGAGAACUGCGAGAAAGCAAUCACUCGAGUCGAGUCGAGUUCGAAGGCCUUCCGCGUAUCCAUUGCAGCGACAAGUGAAAAAAGAAUAAUCGGUGCACUAAAGGGUUUUUCGGCUAGAGUUUUGUGUAUUCUUCGUAAGUGCCAAGGCUUGACCUUCCGCAAGCGUAUUCGGUGCAUUUUUGCCCAUAAUUAGUUGCGGAAUUGCGCAAUUCUGUGUGUCUUUUGUCGCCCUAGCCGUCUAGGCCUCUGCUAUGAGUGAGGGAGAUUUAUAGACGAAAAAUCCUUUUUUUUUUGCAACUCAACUGCAGACAAGAGUGAAGAAGAGUGGUAAAAGUGCAUCUCAACCUAACUUUCACACGUAUCAUAAUAAUCGCGCUUCCGACUGUGUGUAUUAGUGAGUGAGUUCACGUAGUUUCUACUCGGGGAGGCAGUUGGUAAACUUCCGAUCAGUGGUUGAUAUUAUAUGAUAUAGCGUUAAAAUUAUACAUACCCUUACGGUAAUCGUGUGGUGCACGACGAAAGUAUAACAAAAGUGUUUUCUCGUUGUGAGAAAAUUGAACCUUUCGCCCCCGCAGACUGAUUAGUGCCUUUUGAUAGUGCAAAAACGCAUCUCAAUCAUACAGCAGUGAGUAGUGAGGAAAAGUGACACCAACGAGUGCUGCCAUCCAGAUUCGCCGCAUCACUGAAG